This is a long non-coding RNA of Drosophila santomea, 998 nucleotides long. RefSeq lists it as uncharacterized. The record is from RefSeq and is a predicted model, not a curated record. NCBI's taxonomy places the organism in Eukaryota, Metazoa, Arthropoda, Insecta, Diptera, Drosophilidae. The transcript has 2 exons.
GUCGUUGAAAGCGAAACCAGUCAACGAGAAAAAGCAAAAACAAAAAACACAAAAAGGAGUCAGCAGGAGUAAGGAACAGGAAUAACAAUGCAACGGGAGGAGAUGGAAGGGGGAGACACAUGAGUCAGCCAGCAACAGCAACAGAUAUACGGGAGUACUGGCAACAGAGCCAAGAAACCAAGAAACCGAGAAAACUUGGGGGCGUCGCUCCGUUGCCUAAGAAACUAACAAAGAGUUCGACUCGGAAUCGGAGUUGGAGUCGGAUUCGGAAUCGGAAUAUCGCUAUCAGACGGAACUGAAACCCUUUUGUGACCCGCAGGGAUGGAUUACGAUUUGAUUGCCAGAAGGCGCACAAAGAAGUGCCAACUCCAAAGGGUAAAUAAGUAAAUAAGCGAGUAAGCGAAUGGAAGGCGAUAAUGAAAGGGAAAUGCACUUGCAGGCGAUAUAAAUAGCUACAGUAACUGUAAAACUAAACUAAAGAGCUGCUUUAAUUUAAUGAAGAAAUAUACAUUUGAAUGCACAAAUGUAGCGCAUCAAAAAUCGAAUUUAAAUGCAAAAUCGAACAAAGAAAUGGAAGAAGAAGAAGUGUGCCUUCGGGAAUAUUUAUACAGGCGAUAUAUAUAGCUUAUCCCGUGUGGCUGGCAAUCCAUUCAACCCCAGACACACCCAUCGCCACACCCCCUGCCCCCUGCCCCCUCCUCCGGCAACAAUGAGUGCGUAAAGUGCGUUCAAGGACGGGCGACAGCUGCAAUUGAUGACAGAUACGCGGGGGGUUGGGGAAUGGCGAAGGGGUGUGGGUGUGCGGAAUAAGGAGGAGGGGGAGAGGAGGCGACACAAGACGGGGGUGUAAUGCGAGCAUAUGCAGCCGAAAUCCACAAACAAGUACAUAGGCACACUCCCAUAAAUAAGCGCAUACAUACAACAGAGGCCACAAAAAUAGGCGGUGUUUUUCUAAAUGCACCAAUAAAAUACGUUUAAUCGUAAAUAAUAUAAAUACA